RNAcentral lists this non-coding RNA (293 nucleotides) under Cryptosporidium parvum. The record is from RNAcentral. Lineage: Eukaryota; Apicomplexa; Conoidasida; Eucoccidiorida; Cryptosporidiidae.
AGAUCCUCCUCUAGCGCAUCUUGAGCCAGAGCCAUCAUAAGUCACUUUUGAUGCCAUCUUUGCUCCACUUUCUCUGUUCCCCGACCGUUCUCUAUUCCUUGAUCGUUCUCUGUUCCUUGAUCGUUCUCUAUUCUUUGAUCGUUCUCUGUGUGAUGAUUGUCCUCCAUGUCCUCCAUGUCCUCCAUGUCCUCCAGUAAAGUGACUGCUACGAUUAUCAUUGAGAGAAAUUUUUAGUGAAGCAAGUUGUUCCUCUAGAUUACUAGCUUUUCUACUUUCAUAAUCUCCAUCUCGAC